UAUGGCGCAUAAAAGCCAUAUUAGGUGAAAAGGGAAUCGGGUGAGAACCCCGGACGGUACUGCCGCUGUAUACAUCUGAUGCCGUAUGUCCGUUGACGAAAGUCAGUCAUUGGGAAACUGAGAAGGCAGGACAUAGGGUGCAGGGGAUUAUCUCUUGCAGGAUGUAAGUCAGAAGACCUGCAUU
This 184-nucleotide non-coding RNA is filed under the name human gut metagenome. The record is from RNAcentral.